This 4901-nucleotide long non-coding RNA is filed under the name Salvia miltiorrhiza (redroot sage). RNAcentral describes it as "long non-coding RNA (SMIL_LNC005694)". Lineage: Eukaryota; Viridiplantae; Streptophyta; Magnoliopsida; Lamiales; Lamiaceae. The record is from RNAcentral.
GUGUUCAAGGAUAUGGUAUCUGAGAUCAUCGGGGAUCUAUCGCCACCUUCAUCAUCAUCCAUGAUGCUUAGGAGGAAGCUGGUUUUCUGAGGAAAAGAAUGAAGGAAAAUUCUCUGUUUCACGUGGGAAGUACUGAUAUUUCAUGUGCAAGUGCAUUGUUGUGUGUUACUUUUCCUCUCUUUUUUUUAUCAUUGGAAAUGCUGAUUUAUUCUGAAAACAAUUCUAACGGUUACUUUUUCACUUUUUGCUAGAUUAUUGUAAACAAAAAAAUCGAAAUAAUAGUUGUAAAAAAAUGCCAAAAAUCAAGAUUCCGAGGUACUCUGCCUAUCUUUGGCUGUGGGUUGGCAUGUGCUUGUAGAGUUGUUAUAUUUGAGACAAAGGAAACGUGGGUGUAAAGGGCAAAAAGGCGUGGCCUUUUUGGGACAAUAACCAUUGUUUAAUGUGUUAGAAUUUAAGAUUUUUGAGUGUACUUAGUUUUUCUUAUCAAUAAAUCUAUGCAGCCACUUCGUACUGUCAAAAGAUAAAUAUCAAGGAAGUAGAUGAAUUUACUCCUCUUACCUAUACUUAUUGCCGAAGCAAAUCUACAAGUAGUAUUAGAAAAGUAAAUAAGGGUGAAUUUGAUAGUUUAACAUCAAAAUUUCGGUCCCAAAUGGAACAUUCAAGCCGUGCCAAGUCACCCCUGUAUGUGAAUAUCCAGAUUUAGGGAUAAAAUUCAACGCUCUCCUUCCUUAGAAAAACUAAAAUAAAAUCGAAACAUAGCAUUUAUUUGAGAUUUUUGUUUUCUUAGUAUGAUAGGUGUGUGUUGAUGAUUGAAUUUGAUUGGGGUGUGGCUAUGAAAGUGGAUAGUGAUGAUCAUGUGGGAAUGUACACUUCGCCAGGUCUAUUUUUGCAGGCCUUUGAACCUACUCAAACAAGGUGUGGUCUCUUUUGACUAACAUCUUAUGCUACUAUUAUUCUGACUAGCAUGGGGUAAUUUUAUGGCAAAAUAUACUGUUAUAUCCCAAAUUACUACUCCCUCCGUCCCAAAGGAGAUGUCCUCCUUCUUUUGGGCACGGUUAUUAAGGAUGCAUAAUCUGCCUAAUCUAGUAGAAUAUUAAGGAAAUUUCAGUUUUUACUAGAUUAGGCAGCAUAUAAGAUUCAAUGACAGAUUAUGCAUCAUUUCAGUUUCUACUAGAUUAGGCAGAUUAUGCAUCCUUAAUAACCGUGCCCAAAAGAAGGAGGACAUUUCCUUUGGGACGGUGGGAGUACUAUCGUAUUUUUAGAAAUAUUUUAUUUUUAUAUAUAUAAAGAACACACUACUUAGGUAAGAUUUAUACAGGUAUAAAAUUGAUAAUCGACAAAAGCAGCCGAUAAUGAUUCCAUCAAUGAACGCACAUGGCGAAGAAGAUAUAAUGUGAAGAAACGAUGUAAAUAAAAUGUUCAACUCGUCGUGUAUAUACAUAUAUAUAUAUAUAUAUAUGCUAGUAUAUCAUUAUAUCUUUUUUAUGUAGUUUUAAGGCAUAUAUAAAUAUAAUACUAUUUUAUUUUGAAUUAAUAAUACUUUGGAUAACUUUGUUCAUGUGUAUAAUACAUAAACUACAUAUUGUUCAUGUGUAUAAUACAUAAACUACAUAUAACAUAUAAACGGAGUUGAUUUCAAGUAUACCUUCGAGCCUAGAUUGUGAGAGGCUCCCUCAUCAUUGGGAAUAAAAUACAAUAGUGUAAUAGUACUCCUUCUAUCUCAUAACAAUUUAUUGAUUUUUUUUGAAUCGUCCCAAUUAAGUUGAUCGAUUUUAUUCCAUAACUCUAUUAACUUUAUUAUCAAAUAUAAUUUAAAUAUUGCAAACACAAAUUACUUAAUUCUCGUGCCGGAAAAAAAAAUGAUCAAGUUAAAUGGGAGAGAAAGAGAGAGGGUGUAAAUGGGUGCGGAAAUAAUUGUGAGUGGUGUAAUAAUAUGGGUGUUCAUAUCCCUAGACUACGUGCUAGUAUAGCAGGGCUAGUGAUAUAGAUAUUGAUUAUCUCUAGAUGCCCUCCAUGAUUGAUAUAUGGCAAUUCAAAAACAGAAAUGGAUCCUACACACAUCAUGCGCAGCUAACACCCCAUGUGAAUAUGGGGAAUACAAUCAUUCAUUGUAAAUUUGAUUUUGCAACACAAAUAUUUGUAAAUUCUUUUUAAUUAAAGCACAUCUGAGUAAAGAUGUGGGGAAUCAAAACUUCAUGUCUCACAUUGAAGAUGCACUAUUCAUAUGCACACACAACCGCAGACCAUAAUGAAAUUUCUAGUUGGAAGAGUGUAAAAGAUGGUACUUAGUUGGUGGAGUCGUUGAGCACGUGACUAAAAUAUUUGAAUUUUAAGAUGAAUUAAGCUCAUUGUACAAUAUUUGUUUAGUGCAAUGUAUCUUUUAUGCAUGUAGUUCAUAAACUACGGUACAUCCAUGACUCUAUUUGCAAUAAUAAUAAUAAUAAUAAUAAUAAUAAAUAUUCCAAAGUCGGAUAUCAGGAUAUGAAUAUUAAUCUCUCAUAUGCCGACUCAAAAAAAUCUAGGAAGACGGACAUGAAUAUUUAUUGUAUUCGUCUCAUUUGUAUCUAUUAAUCAUUCAUUUCUGUAAUAAUCAAAAAAUGUUAAAACUAAAAGUGUAUUUAUGUGAGAAGAUGGGAACAAUAAUUUUAUUAAGGCCUUUAUGUCCCACCACUUAUUUUUCGAAUGGCCCGUCUCAUUAUCCUAUCUCGCAAACAAUAGAUAUAUAAAAAAGAGAACCACUGCUUAUUACUACUCCCUCCGUCCAUGAAAGAACUUCCUAGGAGGAAGUAGCACAGAUUUUAAGAAAAAAUAUUAUUGAGUGUAUUGAGAGUGGAUAAAAGGUAGUUGAGUGUAUUGGGAGUGGUGAAAAUGUGUUAUAAUUAAUAUUGAGAGUUGUGAAAAGUGAAAAGUAAGAGGAUUAUAAGUGGUGGAUUGGUGGGGUAUAGUCCAAAAAUAGGUAGAAAGUUCUUUUGUGGACGUCCCAAAAAGGAAAGAUAGGAAGUUCUUUCGUGGACGGAUGGACUAUAUUUUAUCUUCCAAACUUCAUCAUAUUAUUAUUAUUAAUUAAUAAUAAUAAAAUUAUUAAUUCAAUUAUUAAUUAUAUUAAUAUAUGUAUAAAUUUAUGUAUAUGUAAUUAUUUUGCUUCAAUUGUUUUUAUGUAAGUUGACCAAUAUGAUAAAAUAUUAUUAUGAUGUUUAAAAUAUAUUUUUUAUAAAUACAUAUAAAAUGUAUACCUAUGUAUUAUUUGAAUGAAUUUAGAGGAAAUACACGUCCACACAUACCUGUAGAUAUAUGAAUAUUUAUUAAUUUUUUAUGUAGUAAACUUUGAAAUAUAUUACAUUUCCAUUUGUUCUUCUUGCAAUUAAAUAAUUAUUAUUUUCUUAAAGUAUUUAACUAUUAAGAAAUUUGAAUUUAAUCCCCAUUUUUAUUUACAUUAGUUCUAUAUUAUUUUUCAAGUUAAAAACUAGUAUAUAUAGAUUCAAUAUAUUAUUACAAUUAAAUAAUAUUUUAACAGUUAAAUCAAUACCACAAUAUUAAUUUUUUUGUUACAACUGAUAAAUUAUGAAGCCGUUUAUAUUUAUAUAGUAUAAUAAAAUUUUAAAAAGUAUAAAAUAUUUUCUAUGCAAUGUACGAAGGGAAAAUCUAGUUCUAAUUAAAUAACACGAAGUAUAUUUUUUUCUCUCUCGCCACAACACAAAGGAGCACGAAGGGAUGAAGCAAGCAAAAGAAAGAGGAAAAAUGUUAGAAUAACAUCAUUAAAAUGUUCUCUUUUAUACACAAAAAGGCUAAUUAUUCUAUUUAAGACAGUUAAAGACUUAAAGUUAGACCACCAUUUAAACAAACUGCAGAUGUGUGUGUGUGUUUAUGGAAUUUGCCGUAUCAUGUGAUUGUGUAUAUAGUAUUUUAUGCGUUUAAUUGAUUCCAAACAUCAAAUUGGAGCAGCCCAAUGGGCCAGUUUGGGGUACCCGAAAAAUAGGAUUGGGCUAAGAAAAUAGAAGCUCAAAAGUAAUUGGGCCUAAAAAGCCCAUCCACGUGGCCCACCGAACCACUCAGAUUUCAAGCUAGAAACUGCAGACGAAUUUUAGUGUUUAGAUAUGAGUUAUAUUUGAUUUGAAGCAAAGAAACAGAGGCAAAGCAGAUUGAUAAUUGAGCAGCACAUGCUAGCCACCCAUCUCAAUCCAUCAAACUUCGAAAGAAAACAAUUAGUUUUGUUGUAAAUUAUUAACGAUCUCCUUAACUCAUGCAAAUCUAUAAAUACAUGCAAAUUUAGACUGUGCUUCUAAAGUGCGAAAAUUCAAGUAAGAGUGUGAAGAGAGAAUACACACAAUAAAACACACCAAAACAAUUGGCCAAAAUGCCCAUUUAUAGCCAGAAAAACUGCCUAGCUAAUUCCUUCUAUAUAUAUAUAUAUAUAUGCAUCUUUUUUUUGUAGGCAUAAGUUUAAUAACAAGAAGAUUGAAAAUCCAAAACGACGACGUACAUUUAUUUUGGUGCGCUACUUUUCCAUCGAAAAUCAUCUAACAAUUUACAAGAUAAAAGAAAAUUAGAAUAUUGGGCGAGUUAGGCCAUGCGCGAUGUCUGAUGUUAGGCCUUGCCCCUUGGAUUGCUACUACCUCAUCAAAUUUGCUUGCUUGUUCCAAACAAACAUACUUGUCAUUCUCUAUUUUUAUGGCAUUUUCUACUUUGACAUUCUCACAUAAAGAACCAAAAAUAUGUUCAUACUUGCCGGGCAGAGCAAUAUGGCCGGAGAAUGCCGUAUUGCCUUGCCAAGGUAUAUGGCAUUCGCCGAUCAUAUUGCUCUGACCGGCUAGUAUGACUACAUCUUUUGUGCUCUAGAGAGCCAAAAUGGAAGAAGUCAUAAUAAGUAAUAGAGAAUGGCAAGCAUGUAUGUUUGGAAUGGU